AUGCGCAUGUCUGCCUUUGAAUAUGAAGUCUGGAUUAUGCUUCUUGCUUUCCCUAUGGAUUAUCAGACUGAGCAUUACAUUCAUAAGUCUGUCUCUAAUUUUGGUACACUGCUUGUCUGGCCGCGCCCAGGACAAAACAAAGCCCGUGUUCUAGUUAAAUGUCAUAUCAAAGAUGUUGCUGAAGCUCCACACAGUCUUUUGGUCACUCGAGUUGGUCCGCUGCCUGGACUUGGCCGCGCUUGGUCUGUCCCAGUCUAUGUGCUUAAUGGCAGAAACACCAUCCCUGAUCUGGUUGGCACGGAGGAAGCUCCUCCCCUCCUUAAUGCAUCCCCGCACCUGUAUCAGCUC
RNAcentral lists this ribosomal RNA (348 nucleotides) under Triticum aestivum (bread wheat). RNAcentral describes it as "partial small subunit ribosomal RNA". The record is from RNAcentral. Lineage: Eukaryota; Viridiplantae; Streptophyta; Magnoliopsida; Poales; Poaceae.